RNAcentral lists this long non-coding RNA (543 nucleotides) under Homo sapiens (human). Its description in RNAcentral is "non-protein coding lnc-POLD4-1:7". Lineage: Eukaryota; Metazoa; Chordata; Mammalia; Primates; Hominidae. The record is from RNAcentral.
GUCUGGGUCAUCUUGUCUGCCCGCCGCUGGCCUGGCCCCGUCUGUCUCUCUCAGCAGCUGUCUUUCUCGCGCCCACUGGCCGGUCUCUCCUCUUCCCCGCAGUUGCCUCCUUCUCUGCCUGCCUGGGUGGCCGCCAUGGGCCGGAAGCGGCUCAUCACUGAUUCCUACCCGGUUGUGAAGAGGAGGGAGGGGCCCGCUGGGCACAGCAAGGGGGAGCUGGCACCCGAGCUAGGUCUCUGAGGUGUGAGGGAGGCAGGAGGAGUGGACACGGAGGGGCCUAGAGGAGGCCCCUAGAGGGGCGGAGGGGCCGAUGGAAAGGGAAAGCCAACCUCGUACUGAAGAGCAGCUGUCAUUGCAGGGGAGGAGCCCCAGCCCCGCGACGAGGAGGAAGCGGAGCUGGAGCUGCUGAGGCAGUUUGACCUGGCCUGGCAGUACGGGCCCUGCACCGGUGAGAACCCACCCAGCCCCACGGAGGCGCCUCUCCCAGCCAGUCACCCACACGUCUCUGAAGUCACCCAAGCGCUUGCGUGACUCUGACCCUCA